This is an RNA transcript of Aphis gossypii (cotton aphid), 1759 nucleotides long. It is a transcript of the gene named allatostatin-A receptor-like, with no coding region annotated. The transcript has 6 exons. NCBI's taxonomy places the organism in Eukaryota, Metazoa, Arthropoda, Insecta, Hemiptera, Aphididae. The record is from RefSeq and is a predicted model, not a curated record.
UCGUCGCGCGGUGCCGAAUAAGAACCACGGCAGUUUGUCGCCGCGCACCGCCAAACGCGAACGCCGCGCCACCGCUAGCCACCGUCUGCGCUGUAUAGGCCCAUUCGUCGAGACUAUCUUCGCGUAAAAAGAUACGAUACGGACGUCACGCGAACGUCGCACUCGCGUUCCUUUAUUCCCGACCUCGCACCGUCACUAAUCCCGACCGAUGAUCCGUUGAACUGACCAUCGUCAUAUCUGAAGACCGCUCUCACUCGUCGCCUCGUCCUUUAAUCCCGAACGCCAACCUUCAUAUUAUCCCACAACAAGACCGGCCGACCUCGCGUAACCAUGAACCCGACCGCCGGCAUGCCCACCGCACUCGAGGGCACCGCGAUGUACAGGUACGAGAUGUGCUGGAACAUAUCGGCCGGCAGCUUUCCGUUAUGUGUCAACAGCACUGAGUUUAAUGACUUCAACGAAACCGACGACGAGAUCCUCCAGGUGCAGCGCAUCGUUUCGCUGGCCGUGCCCAUACUGUUCGGCAUCAUCGUGGUGGUCGGGCUGCUGGGCAACCUGCUCGUGGUGAUCGUGGUGAUGGCCAACCAGCAGAUGCGGAGCACCACCAACCUGCUGAUCAUCAACCUGGCGCUGGCCGACCUGCUGUUCAUCGUGUUCUGCGUGCCGUUCACCGCCGUCGAUUACAUGCUGCCGUACUGGCCGUUCGGCGACGUCUGGUGCAAAAUGGUCCAGUACCUGAUCGUGGUCACCGCGUACGCGAGCGUCUACACGCUGGUGCUCAUGUCGCUGGAUCGGUUCCUGGCCGUCGUCCACCCGAUCGCCUCCAUAUACGUGCGCACCGAGCGCAACGCGUCCUCCGCCAUACUCGUCACGUGGGUGCUGAUCGUGCUGCUCGCGCUACCGGUGCUCGCCAGACACGGCGAGGUCACGUACACGUUCUCCAGCACCCAGCACACGGCGUGCAUAUUCCUCGACCGCGACCAGAAGACCCGACCGGACGGUUACAACAAGCCGGCGUACCAGAUAUUCUUCUUUCUCACGUCGUACGCGAUACCACUGGCAAUCAUAUGCAUUCUCUACGUGCUGAUGCUGAUGAGACUGUGGAAAGGAGUGAACCCUGGCGGGCAGCCACCUUCGGCUGAGAGUCGGAGAGGCAAGAAGCGAGUAACCCGAAUGGUAGUCGUCGUGGUCGCCAUAUUCGCUUUCUGCUGGUUUCCGAUACAGGUUAUAUUGGUGCUAAAAAGCAUUAAUUAUUAUGAAAUCACGGCUAUCAGUGUUAUCGUUCAGAUAGUCAGCCAUUGUCUUGCGUACACCAACUCAUGUCUGAAUCCAAUUUUAUACGCGUUCUUGUCAGAGAAUUUCCGGAAAGCAUUCAGAAAAGUGAUAAUUCCAUGGAGACCGGAAGUGAAUGUCCAAGGAAGAUUUGCAAAUGGAGAUGCCCGGUCGAUGGCUGUCACUAGGACGACUAGGACGACUAACAACGACAUACUUUGAAAUACUGGAAAGAAAACAUCAAAAUAAAACUAAGAAUACAACAUUUAAGAUACGAGUGAUAUCUUACCGGCUUCGCAGACUAACAACUUCAGUAAUGAUUACUAUCCGACUUGUAUUGUCUUCAUGAUUCGCGUGAUACACGAGAACGUAUAAAAAACACGGAGCUCAAUACAGAAUGAAAACGAAUAUUGCAUGUUACUAUACAUAAAUGUAGUCAAAAUACAAUACUAUAAUGUUAUAGAUGUUAAAUAAAUAUGUUAAAAAG